GGUCAGUGAUGAAAUGUAAAAGGUCUGAUUGCCCAAGUCCCUUCCCAUUGUCCACUGCUCCCAGCAGCCCUUGCUCUACUCCCAGCAUGCUCUAGUUGUGCAUCGUUGGCCACAUGGGCUGCUGACAUAGAGGAUGACCUCGCAUCCUGUGUCUCUGAGACCAUGGUGUCACAGUGAUGAUGGACGGCCAUCCAACAUGACCAAUCACCAAGGAGUAUCAGGGUGUGGGUUCGGGAUAGGUAGAUGAUCUCAAGUUUUCAAGCUGAGACC
Molecule: non-coding RNA, 270 nt
Organism: Salvelinus fontinalis (brook trout)
Lineage: Eukaryota; Metazoa; Chordata; Actinopteri; Salmoniformes; Salmonidae
Product: small Cajal body-specific RNA 6
Exons: 1
Source: RefSeq, a predicted model, not a curated record